Molecule: long non-coding RNA, 900 nt
Organism: Andrographis paniculata
Lineage: Eukaryota; Viridiplantae; Streptophyta; Magnoliopsida; Lamiales; Acanthaceae
Exons: 3
Source: RefSeq, a predicted model, not a curated record
CCCAGCUGACCUGAGGUUGGUUGAGCAAUUUGAAAAGGCAACGACGCAGAUGGGUCGGCUUCUACUCUCUGUCUUUGUCUCUGUAUUUAUCUGUACCAGGGCGUUUUUAAAACUUUUAAAUUAUUAUAAAUAUAGUAUUUUUAGAACGGAUCACUAAAAUCCCAAACCCUAUUUUUAUGUUUGAGUUCAGUCCCAUCAAUGAUUUUUACACACUGCACUCCUUACUUUCUAAUAAAUAUUACUACUAACUCCCCACACUAAUCUUAAUGAUAUUAAUGCCCUUCUCUCUCAAAUAUCUAUUUAUCAUUUCUGAUAUAGUGUGUUUCUCGUUAAGUUAUUUUCGCGCGAAGAAGUUCUGUUCAACCUUCUGUUUCAUUUGCGCGUGGUCGAUAGGAAUGGUGAUAUCAAAUCAAAAUCACAAUUCUUAGGUUUAUUUCGCACAAAGAAAACACGGGGCUCACAAUCGAUUCUACCCACGUUCCAUUGAAGACGAUAUCGGAACUUAGGUCGAACACAGGGAUUUAAAGUCAUGAAUUUCAAUAUUAAAAAUCUUGGAGAAGCGACGAAGAAACAAAAGGGGAGCCCGCUUCGAGCGGAGAACCUUCAACUACUGAAAGCAGUAAAUAAAGCAGUAAACAUGAACGGGGGUGAGCGAAGCGAAAGUGAUAGGAUUGGGAUGCGAGCGAGCGGCCUGAUAUAUGUAUAUGUACAUGAGCGAAGUAGAGUGAAAGAGAAGCGUUGUGUCUGAGCUGUGCGUUACUAAAUGGAUAGAAUUCCAUGGAUGCAGCGAGCGAAUGAUGAAAUUGUGUUAUCGGAAGCAUAUAUGUAUUUUACGAAAAUGAUGACAGAAAGAUGUUGUAAUUAUAUAAACUCGAUUAUAAAGAACUCAUCACACUGGUA